This 73-nucleotide transfer RNA is filed under the name Blaptica dubia (Argentinian wood cockroach). RNAcentral's name for it is "tRNA-Trp". Lineage: Eukaryota; Metazoa; Arthropoda; Insecta; Blattodea; Blaberidae. The record is from RNAcentral.
AAGGUUUUAAGUUAAGUACAAACUAAUAACCUUCAAAGUUAUUAAUAAAGAUAAAAUUCCUCUUUAAGCCUUA